AUGGAACAAUGUAGGCAAGGGAAGUCGGCAAAACGGAUCCGUAACUUCGGGAAAAGGAUUGGCUCUGAGGACUGGGCUCGGGGGUCCCGGCCCCGAACCCGUCGGCUAUCGGCGGAUUGCUCGAGCUGCUCACGCGGCGAGAGCGGGUCGCCGCGUGCCGGCCGGGGGACGGACCGGGAAUUGCCCCUUCGGGGGCUUUCCCCGAGCAUGAAACAGUCGACUCAGAACUGGUACGGACAAGGGGAAUCCGACUGUUUAAUUAAAACAAAGCAUUGCGAUGGUCCUCGCGGAUGCUGA
RNAcentral lists this ribosomal RNA (297 nucleotides) under Triticum aestivum (bread wheat). Its description in RNAcentral is "partial small subunit ribosomal RNA". It matches the Rfam family "Eukaryotic large subunit ribosomal RNA", at positions 1890 to 2184 of the family's 3401-position model. Lineage: Eukaryota; Viridiplantae; Streptophyta; Magnoliopsida; Poales; Poaceae. The record is from RNAcentral.